ACAGCCAAAUCAAGUUGAAACACUGGCUCUCAUACAAUCACUGAAGCUAAGCAAAGUUGAGCCUGGUCAGUUGCUAGAUGGGUGACCACAUAGGAAUAACAGGUGCUGUAAG
Molecule: non-coding RNA, 112 nt
Organism: Acanthosepion pharaonis
Lineage: Eukaryota; Metazoa; Mollusca; Cephalopoda; Sepiida; Sepiidae
Source: the annotation of a GenBank genome assembly